This 2900-nucleotide ribosomal RNA is filed under the name Klebsiella quasipneumoniae. RNAcentral's name for it is "bacterial LSU rRNA". It matches the Rfam family "Bacterial large subunit ribosomal RNA". The record is from RNAcentral. Lineage: Bacteria; Pseudomonadati; Pseudomonadota; Gammaproteobacteria; Enterobacterales; Enterobacteriaceae.
UUAAGCGACUAAGCGUACACGGUGGAUGCCCUGGCAGUCAGAGGCGAUGAAGGACGUGCUAAUCUGCGAAAAGCGUCGGUAAGGUGAUAUGAACCGUUAUAACCGGCGAUGUCCGAAUGGGGAAACCCAGUGCAAUUCGUUGCACUAUCGUUAACUGAAUACAUAGGUUAACGAGGCGAACCGGGGGAACUGAAACAUCUAAGUACCCCGAGGAAAAGAAAUCAACCGAGAUUCCCCCAGUAGCGGCGAGCGAACGGGGAGCAGCCCAGAGUCUGAAUCAGCUUGUGUGUUAGUGGAACGGUCUGGAAAGUCCGACGGUACAGGGUGAUAGUCCCGUACACCAAAAUGCACAGGUUGUGAACUCGAAGAGUAGGGCGGGACACGUGGUAUCCUGUCUGAAUAUGGGGGGACCAUCCUCCAAGGCUAAAUACUCCUGACUGACCGAUAGUGAACCAGUACCGUGAGGGAAAGGCGAAAAGAACCCCGGCGAGGGGAGUGAAAAAGAACCUGAAACCGUGUACGUACAAGCAGUGGGAGCACCUUCGGGUGUGACUGCGUACCUUUUGUAUAAUGGGUCAGCGACUUAUAUUCUGUAGCAAGGUUAACCGUAUAGGGGAGCCGCAGGGAAACCGAGUCUUAACUGGGCGUUAAGUUGCAGGGUAUAGACCCGAAACCCGGUGAUCUAGCCAUGGGCAGGUUGAAGGUUGGGUAACACUAACUGGAGGACCGAACCGACUAAUGUUGAAAAAUUAGCGGAUGACUUGUGGCUGGGGGUGAAAGGCCAAUCAAACCGGGAGAUAGCUGGUUCUCCCCGAAAGCUAUUUAGGUAGCGCCUCGUGAACUCAUCUUCGGGGGUAGAGCACUGUUUCGGCUAGGGGGUCAUCCCGACUUACCAACCCGAUGCAAACUACGAAUACCGAAGAAUGUUAUCACGGGAGACACACGGCGGGUGCUAACGUCCGUCGUGAAGAGGGAAACAACCCAGACCGCCAGCUAAGGUCCCAAAGUCAUGGUUAAGUGGGAAACGAUGUGGGAAGGCACAGACAGCCAGGAUGUUGGCUUAGAAGCAGCCAUCAUUUAAAGAAAGCGUAAUAGCUCACUGGUCGAGUCGGCCUGCGCGGAAGAUGUAACGGGGCUAAACCAUGCACCGAAGCUGCGGCAGCGACACGAUGUGUUGUUGGGUAGGGGAGCGUUCUGUAAGCCUGCGAAGGUGACCUGUGAGGGUUGCUGGAGGUAUCAGAAGUGCGAAUGCUGACAUAAGUAACGAUAAAGCGGGUGAAAAGCCCGCUCGCCGGAAGACCAAGGGUUCCUGUCCAACGUUAAUCGGGGCAGGGUGAGUCGACCCCUAAGGCGAGGCCGAAAGGCGUAGUCGAUGGGAAACAGGUUAAUAUUCCUGUACUUGGUGUUACUGCGAAGGGGGGACGGAGAAGGCUAUGUUAGCCGGGCGACGGUUGUCCCGGUUUAAGCAUGUAGGCUGGUUAUCCAGGCAAAUCCGGAUAAUCAAGGCUGAGGUGUGAUGACGAGGUACUACGGUGCUGAAGUAACAAAUGCCCUGCUUCCAGGAAAAGCCUCUAAGCAUCAGGUAACAUCAAAUCGUACCCCAAACCGACACAGGUGGUCAGGUAGAGAAUACCAAGGCGCUUGAGAGAACUCGGGUGAAGGAACUAGGCAAAAUGGUGCCGUAACUUCGGGAGAAGGCACGCUGGUGUGUAGGUGAAGUCCCUGCGGAUGGAGCUGAGACCAGUCGAAGAUACCAGCUGGCUGCAACUGUUUAUUAAAAACACAGCACUGUGCAAACACGAAAGUGGACGUAUACGGUGUGACGCCUGCCCGGUGCCGGAAGGUUAAUUGAUGGGGUUAUCCGUAAGGAGAAGCUCUUGAUCGAAGCCCCGGUAAACGGCGGCCGUAACUAUAACGGUCCUAAGGUAGCGAAAUUCCUUGUCGGGUAAGUUCCGACCUGCACGAAUGGCGUAAUGAUGGCCAGGCUGUCUCCACCCGAGACUCAGUGAAAUUGAACUCGCUGUGAAGAUGCAGUGUACCCGCGGCAAGACGGAAAGACCCCGUGAACCUUUACUAUAGCUUGACACUGAACAUUGAGCCUUGAUGUGUAGGAUAGGUGGGAGGCUUUGAAGCGUGGACGCCAGUCUGCGUGGAGCCAACCUUGAAAUACCACCCUUUAAUGUUUGAUGUUCUAACGUGGGCCCCUAAUCGGGGUUGCGGACAGUGUCUGGUGGGUAGUUUGACUGGGGCGGUCUCCUCCCAAAGCGUAACGGAGGAGCACGAAGGUUAGCUAAUCCUGGUCGGACAUCAGGAGGUUAGUGCAAUGGCAUAAGCUAGCUUGACUGCGAGCGUGACGGCGCGAGCAGGUGCGAAAGCAGGUCAUAGUGAUCCGGUGGUUCUGAAUGGAAGGGCCAUCGCUCAACGGAUAAAAGGUACUCCGGGGAUAACAGGCUGAUACCGCCCAAGAGUUCAUAUCGACGGCGGUGUUUGGCACCUCGAUGUCGGCUCAUCACAUCCUGGGGCUGAAGUAGGUCCCAAGGGUAUGGCUGUUCGCCAUUUAAAGUGGUACGCGAGCUGGGUUUAGAACGUCGUGAGACAGUUCGGUCCCUAUCUGCCGUGGGCGCUGGAGAAUUGAGGGGGGCUGCUCCUAGUACGAGAGGACCGGAGUGGACGCAUCACUGGUGUUCGGGUUGUCAUGCCAAUGGCACUGCCCGGUAGCUAAAUGCGGAAGAGAUAAGUGCUGAAAGCAUCUAAGCACGAAACUUGCCCCGAGAUGAGUUCUCCCUGAGACUUUAAGUCUCCUGAAGGAACGUUGAAGACGACGACGUUGAUAGGCCGGGUGUGUAAGCGCAGCGAUGCGUUGAGCUAACCGGUACUAAUGAACCGUGAGGCUUAACCUU